This 346-nucleotide long non-coding RNA is filed under the name Ananas comosus (pineapple). RNAcentral's name for it is "long non-coding RNA (ACOM_LNC040489)". Lineage: Eukaryota; Viridiplantae; Streptophyta; Magnoliopsida; Poales; Bromeliaceae. The record is from RNAcentral.
UCUAUUAUAAAUAUGUGUUUUUAAUAUUUAAUAUAAAAUAACUUAAUAACUAUAUAUAUAUUUAUAUUUAUACAUUUAUUUAUAUAUUAAGUUAUUUUAUGUGUUUUUUUUUUCCUUACUUUACAGUCCCAAAAAAGAAAGUCUCAAUGAAAGGAAAGGGGAGGAAUCCUCAUAGUUAGCAGGGGAGAAUCAUUUCGCAGGAAAGGGCAGUUGAGGGGUUUGGGUCGCGGGGGAGGAACCGAAAUCUAAGAGUAAAGAGGGUUAGAAAAGAAUAGGGGCCUCGGUAAGGGAACAGUUCUUUUUUUAGGUCCCAAACGCGGUCUGGAGCUGAAAACAGAUCAUAAAU